RNAcentral lists this ribosomal RNA (514 nucleotides) under uncultured bacterium. RNAcentral's name for it is "bacterial SSU rRNA". It matches the Rfam family "Bacterial small subunit ribosomal RNA", at positions 777 to 1297 of the family's 1533-position model. The record is from RNAcentral.
AAUAGAUACCCAGGUAGUCCACGCCGUAAGCGAUGGAUACUAGCUGUUUGAGCGCAAGUUUGAGUGGCUAAGCGAAAGUGAUAAGUAUCCCACCUGGGGAGUACGGGCGCAAGCCUGAAACUCAAAGGAAUUGACGGGGGCCCGCACAAGCGGUGGAGCAUGUGGUUUAAUUCGAUGAUACGCGAGGAACCUUACCAGGGCUUAAAUGUAGAUUGACGUAUUUGGAAACAGAUAUUUCUUCGGACAAUUUACAAGGUGCUGCAUGGUUGUCGUCAGCUCGUGCCGUGAGGUGUCAGGUUAAGUCCUAUAACGAGCGCAACCCCUGUUGUUAGUUGCCAGCGAGUAAUGUCGGGAACUCUAGCAAGACUGCCAGUGUAAACUGUGAGGAAGGUGGGGAUGACGUCAAAUCAUCACGGCCCUUACGUCCUGGGCCACACACGUGCUACAAUGGCCGGUACAGAGAGCAGCCACUUAGCGAUAAGGAGCGAAUCUAUAAAGCCGGUCACAGUUCGGA